Molecule: non-coding RNA, 26 nt
Filed under: Homo sapiens (human)
Lineage: Eukaryota; Metazoa; Chordata; Mammalia; Primates; Hominidae
Source: RNAcentral
UGUAGCAAGGAAUGUGGUGGCACGGU